GAUGAACGCUAGCUACAGGCUUGACACAUGCAAGUCGAGGGGAAACGACAUUGGAAGCUUGCUUCCGAUGGGCGUCGACCGGCGCACGGGUGAGUAACGCGUAUCCAACCUGCCCAUCACUUGGGGAUAACCUUGCGAAAGUAAGACUAAUACCCAAUGAUAUCUCUAGAAGACAUCUGAAAGGGAUUAAAGAUUUAUCGGUGAUGGAUGGGGAUGCGUCUGAUUAGCUUGUUGGCGGGGUAACGGCCCACCAAGGCGACGAUCAGUAGGGGUGCUGAGGGGAAGGUCCCCCACAUUGGAACUGAGACACGGUCCAAACUCCUACGGGAGGCAGCAGUGAGGAAUAUUGGUCAAUGGGCGAGAGCCUGAACCAGCCAAGUAGCGUGCAGGAUGACGGCCCUAUGGGUUGUAAACUGCUUUUAUAAGGGAAUAAAGUGAGUCUCGUGAGACUUUUUGCAUGUACCUUAUGAAUAAGGACCGGCUAAUUCCGUGCCAGCCGCCGCGGUAA
This 508-nucleotide ribosomal RNA is filed under the name uncultured bacterium. RNAcentral describes it as "partial 16S ribosomal RNA". It matches the Rfam family "Bacterial small subunit ribosomal RNA", at positions 28 to 523 of the family's 1533-position model. The record is from RNAcentral.